ACGGCCGCAAGGUUAAAACUCAAAUGAAUUGACGGGGGCCCGCACAAGCGGUGGAGCAUGUGGUUUAAUUCGAUGCAACGCGAAGAACCUUACCUGGUCUUGACAUCCACGGAAGUUUUCAGAGAUGAGAAUGUGCCUUCGGGAACCGUGAGACAGGUGCUGCAUGGCUGUCGUCAGCUCGUGUUGUGAAAUGUUGGGUUAAGUCCCGCAACGAGCGCAACCCUUAUCCUUUGUUGCCAGCGGUCCGGCCGGGAACUCAAAGGAGACUGCCAGUGAUAAACUGGAGGAAGGUGGGGAUGACGUCAAGUCAUCAUGGCCCUUACGACCAGGGCUACACACGUGCUACAAUGGCGCAUACAAAGAGAAGCGACCUCGCGAGAGCAAGCGGACCUCAUAAAGUGCGUCGUAGUCCGGAUUGGAGUCUGCAACUCGACUCCAUGAAGUCGGAAUCGCUAGUAAUCGUAGAUCAGAAUGCCACGGUGAAUACGUUCCCGGGCCUUGUACACACCGCCCGUCACACCAUGGGAGUGGGUUGCAAAAGAAGUAGGUAGCUUAACCUUCGGGAGGGCGCUUACCACUUUGUGAUUCAUGACUGGGGUGAAGUCGUAACAAGGUAACCGUAGGGGAACCUGCGGUUGGAUCACCUCCUUACCUUAAAGAAGC
This 663-nucleotide ribosomal RNA is filed under the name Shigella flexneri. RNAcentral describes it as "bacterial SSU rRNA". It matches the Rfam family "Bacterial small subunit ribosomal RNA", at positions 882 to 1533 of the family's 1533-position model. The record is from RNAcentral. Lineage: Bacteria; Pseudomonadati; Pseudomonadota; Gammaproteobacteria; Enterobacterales; Enterobacteriaceae.